Haliotis rufescens (red abalone) is the source of this 372-nucleotide long non-coding RNA. RefSeq lists it as uncharacterized. The transcript is spliced from 4 exons. NCBI's taxonomy places the organism in Eukaryota, Metazoa, Mollusca, Gastropoda, Lepetellida, Haliotidae. The record is from RefSeq and is a predicted model, not a curated record.
UUCAUUGUCAUGUUCUCAUCUGUUAUAAGAAACUUGAUGCUGUACAGGAUUGGACAGCGACGGCAAGCAUCCCGACUACGACUCUGAUGGGAAUUGCUUCCCUAUCGUUAUACCGUCCGGAGAUCGUUACUUUAACGAAUGUCUGCCAUUCACCCGCUCUGCAGCCUCCCCACAUAACACGUCACCUCGGGAACAGUUCAACAUCCUCACCUCCUACGUCGACGCCAGCACCGUCUACGGAGGCUCAGUUGAGGAGGCGGACGAAUUAAGAACCAAAUCAGAUGGUUUGCUGAAAACCACUUCUGGGGGCGACAACCUGCCAACUUCCGACAAGACGUUUUGCCUACAGAGAUCCGGGAAUAAGUGCCCGAA